GACGAACGCUGGCGGCGUGCCUAAUACAUGCAAGUAGAACGCUGAAGGAGGAGCUUGCUUCUCUGGAUGAGUUGCGAACGGGUGAGUAACGCGUAGGUAACCUGCCUGGUAGCGGGGGAUAACUAUUGGAAACGAUAGCUAAUACCGCAUAAGAGUAGAUGUUGCAUGACAUUUGCUUAAAAGGUGCAAUUGCAUCACUACCAGAUGGACCUGCGUUGUAUUAGCUAGUUGGUGGGGUAACGGCUCACCAAGGCGACGAUACAUAGCCGACCUGAGAGGGUGAUGGGCCACAUUGGGCCUGGGCACCGCCCCAACCUCCUAGGGGAGGCAGAAGUGGGGAACUUUCGGCAAUGGCCGGAGGCUUGCCCGAGCACCGCGGGGUGAGUGAAGAAGGUUUCCGGACCGUAAAGUUCUGUUUUAAGGGAAGAACGAGUGGGAGAGUGAAAGUUCACACUGUGACGGUAGCUUACCAGAAAGGGACGGCUAACUACGUG
Molecule: ribosomal RNA, 494 nt
Filed under: uncultured bacterium
Lineage: Bacteria
Description: partial 16S ribosomal RNA
Rfam family: Bacterial small subunit ribosomal RNA
Source: RNAcentral